CCAGACUCCUACGGGAGGCAGCAGUGAGGAAUAUUGGUCAAUGGCCGGAAGGCUGAACCAGCCAAGUCGCGUGAGGGAAUAAGGCCCUAUGGGUCGUAAACCUCUUUUGUCAGGGAGCAAAGGCGUCCACGUGUGGACGAGAGGAGAGUACCUGAAGAAAAAGCAUCGGCUAACUCCGUGCCAGCAGCCGCGGUAAUACGGAGGAUGCGAGCGUUAUCCGGAUUUAUUGGGUUUAAAGGGUGCGUAGGCGGAAGGUUAAGUCAGCGGUCAAAUGUCGGUGCUCAACACCGGCCUGCCGUUGAAACUGGUCUUCUUGAGUGAGCGAGAAGUAUGCGGAAUGCGUGGUGUAGCGGUGAAAUGCAUAGAUAUCACGCAGAACUCCGAUUGCGAAGGCAGCAUACCGGCGCUCAACUGACGCUCAUGCACGAAAGCGUGGGUAUCGAACAGGAUUAGAUACCCCGUACAA
Molecule: ribosomal RNA, 466 nt
Filed under: uncultured bacterium
Lineage: Bacteria
Description: bacterial SSU rRNA
Rfam family: Bacterial small subunit ribosomal RNA
Source: RNAcentral